GUAUCAGAAGUGCGAAUGCUGACAUGAGUAACGAUAAAGGGGGUGAAAAACCUCCUCGCCGGAAGACCAAGGGUUCCUGUCCAACGUUAAUCGGGGCAGGGUAAGUCGACCCCUAAGGCGAGGCCGAAAGGCGUAGUCGAUGGGAAACGGGUUAAUAUUCCCGUACUUCUUACAAUUGCGAUGGGGGGACGGAGAAGGCUAGGUGGGCCUGGCGACGGUUGUCCAGGUUCAAGUGCGUAGGCUUAAGAGUUAGGUAAAUCCGGCUCUUUUUAAGGCUGAGACACGACGUCGAGCACCUACGGGUGUGAAGUCAUUGAUGCCAUGCUUCCAGGAAAAGCCUCUAAGCUUCAGAUUGUAAGGAAUCGUACCCCAAACCGACACAGGUGGUCGGGUAGAGAAUACCAAGGCGCUUGAGAGAACUCGGGUGAAGGAACUAGGCAAAAUGGUACCGUAACUUCGGGAGAAGGUACGCUCUUGAUGGUGAAGUCCCUUGCGGAUGGAGCUGACGAGAGUCGCAGAUACCAGGUGGCUGCAACUGUUUAUUAAAAACACAGCACUGUGCAAAAUCGUAAGAUGACGUAUACGGUGUGACGCCUGCCCGGUGCCGGAAGGUUAAUUGAUGGGGUUAGACUUCGGUCGAAGCUCUUGAUCGAAGCCCCGGUAAACGGCGGCCGUAACUAUAACGGUCCUAAGGUAGCGAAAUUCCUUGUCGGGUAAGUUCCGACCUGCACGAAUGGCGUAAUGAUGGCCACGCUGUCUCCACCCGAGACUCAGUGAAAUUGAAAUCGCUGUGAAGAUGCAGUGUACCCGCGGCUAGACGGAAAGACCCCGUGAACCUUUACUACAGCUUGGCACUGAACAUUGACCCUACAUG
RNAcentral lists this ribosomal RNA (874 nucleotides) under Vibrio parahaemolyticus. RNAcentral's name for it is "partial 23S ribosomal RNA". It matches the Rfam family "Bacterial large subunit ribosomal RNA", at positions 1279 to 2136 of the family's 2925-position model. The record is from RNAcentral. Lineage: Bacteria; Pseudomonadati; Pseudomonadota; Gammaproteobacteria; Vibrionales; Vibrionaceae.